This 252-nucleotide long non-coding RNA is filed under the name Capsella rubella. RNAcentral's name for it is "long non-coding RNA (CRUB_LNC000574)". Lineage: Eukaryota; Viridiplantae; Streptophyta; Magnoliopsida; Brassicales; Brassicaceae. The record is from RNAcentral.
AGGCACUCACAAAUGAAGAUACUACCAAGAGCAAUUGAUUCUGAAAUCGAAAUUCUCAAAUCCAGGAUAUACAAACAAUCAAGAAGUGGUAAGUAUCUCUUUUUUUUUUGGACGGGAGUGGUAAGUAGCUAUUUAUAUUGCAUCUAAUACAUUUAAAAAUCAUACUCUACUUAUGUUUAUAAUAAAUCAUGUCAACAUUUCAUAAUUGUUUAGGACUCUCACAAUAUCCAGAGACACACUGCAAAUGAUUAU